CUCCCAGGUCCAGAAGAACUAUGAAGAGGGAGAAGCAGAGAGAGGCGCGUCGGCAUAGUCUGAGAUUGCUUGGGAAGGACCUGGGGGAGGAGGAGCCUCUGCAACUGCCUCAUAGGGACAAGACCUACCAAGAAGAGUUGCUGUGCUCCUUACGCCUGUCUCCCCUGAGCAGGCCUUGUUUCUGCUAAUAAAGUAUUAACGCCACAUACUCCAUGUGAUUUAUUGCUGGGUGGCUGCCUGACAUUGGCAGAGCUUAUCCAAUGCUCCUGUUGGUGCACUUGCACUGGAUCAACCAUCUCACCCCUCACCCUCUCCUCAGAAAGCAGCAGCAUCCCACUUGCAGAAGAAGCUAAUGUUAACAGUUUUGCCCUACCCAGCAAGCUGCUUCUGCUUAUUAUUGUUUCCUGUUGACGCAAUAUGCCACAGCGGCUUAUCUAUGUAGCUCUAGGUUGAUAAAACAGCCUGCUUCCAAUUUAUCAUGCAUCUAAUGGAACCUUUGCUGAUAAAGCCACCUCUUGUCAAUGCAAGGAACUCAAAUCACCUCCUGUAUAAUAUAUGGGGCCUAUAUCUUGGGGUGACGUUGCUCUGAGAACAGUGGGGUGGGGUGGGGAAAGAAAUGAGUAAUAGCAGGUUAAUAUGACAGUUUUGGUCCUUUAGUGGUCAGGCGAAGGGAAGGGGGAAAGGAAGUAUUUGGCAGGUGGAACUGGCUGGGAGCAAAAGGGGAAUCUAGAAGAAUGAGAGGGAGGUGUUCAGUGAGCUUUGCUGUCAUGUAAGUGGGUGCACGAUUUGAAUCUUCGUUUACUCUAUGUUAAAUAAUAGGUCAUAAUGCAGCCACCAUUUAAGUAUCAUGAUGCUUUUGAAUUAUGGUGCUGGAGGAGACCCUUGAGAGUCCCAUGGACUGCAAGAAGAACAAACCUAUCCAUUCUUAAGGAAAUCAGCCCAGAGUGCUCACUGGAAGGACAGAUCCUGAAGCUGAGGCUCCAAUACUUUGACCACCUCAUGAGAAGAGAAGACUCCCUGGAAAAGACCCUUGUGUUGGGAAAGAUGGAGGGCACAAGGAGAAGGGGACGACAGAGGACGAGAUGGUUAGACAGCAUUCUCGAAGCUGCAAACAUGAGUUUGACCAAACUGCGGGAGGCAGUGGAAGACAGGAGUGCCUGGCGUGCUCUGGUCCAUGGGGUCACGAAGAGUCGGACACGACUAAACGACUAAACAACUAAACAACAACAAUGCAGCCACCAUUUAAGCACUUUGAAAAUCCACAGUCUUCAGUGAUAAAAGCUGUUGUGUACUUAAUUCCAC
Molecule: long non-coding RNA, 1302 nt
Filed under: Podarcis lilfordi (Lilford's wall lizard)
Lineage: Eukaryota; Metazoa; Chordata; Lepidosauria; Squamata; Lacertidae
Source: RNAcentral